UUAUGGCUCAGGAUGAACGCUAGCGGCAGGCUUAACACAUGCAAGUCGAGGGGCAGCGGGAUGUAGCAAUACAUUGCCGGCGACCGGCGGAUGGGUGCGUAACGCGUAUGCAACCUACCUUAUACAGGGGAAUAACCUUUCGAAAGGGAGACUAACACCCCAUAGUAUUGAUUUAAGGCAUCUUAGAUUAAUUAAAUAUUUAUAGGUAUAAGAUGGGCAUGCGUAUGAUUAGCUAGUUGGUAAGGUAACGGCUUACCAAGGCGACGAUCAUUAGGGGUUCUGAGAGGAAGGUCCCCCCACACUGGUACUGAGACACGGACCAGACUCCUACGGGAGGCAGCAGUGAGAAAUAUUGGUCAAUGGGCGCAAGCCUGAACCAGCCAUGCCGCGUGCAGGAAAGACGGCCUUAUGGGUUGUAAACUGCUUUUACAUAAGACUAACCGUAUAUUUGCGAAUAUACCUGAAUGUAUUAUGAGAAUAAGGAUCGGCUAACUCCGUGCCAGCAGCCGC
This 510-nucleotide ribosomal RNA is filed under the name uncultured bacterium. Its description in RNAcentral is "bacterial SSU rRNA". It matches the Rfam family "Bacterial small subunit ribosomal RNA", at positions 17 to 518 of the family's 1533-position model. The record is from RNAcentral.